CCCUUAGAUGUUCUGGGCCGCACGCGCGCUACACUGAUGAAUUCAACGAGUUUUCCACCUUGACCGAGAGGUCCGGGAAAUCUUUUCAACUUUCAUCGUGCUGGGGAUAGAUUAUUGCAAUUGUUAAUCUUCAACGAGGAAUUCCUAGUAAACGCAAAUCAUCAGCUUGCAUUGAUUACGUCCCUGCCCUUUGUACACACCGCCCGUCGCACCUACCGAUUGAAUGGUCCGGUGAAAUCUUCGGAUCUGAGAGAUGUCUGAUUAAUUUCGGACGCCUUUUGGAAAAGUUGCUUAAACCUUACCAUUUAGAGGAAGGUGAAGUCGUANCA
RNAcentral lists this ribosomal RNA (329 nucleotides) under uncultured eukaryote. RNAcentral describes it as "partial 18S ribosomal RNA". It matches the Rfam family "Eukaryotic small subunit ribosomal RNA", at positions 1470 to 1796 of the family's 1831-position model. The record is from RNAcentral.